RNAcentral lists this small nucleolar RNA (133 nucleotides) under Neogale vison (American mink). RNAcentral describes it as "Neovison vison (American mink) Small nucleolar RNA SNORA4 (ENSNVIG00000016077.1)". The record is from RNAcentral. Lineage: Eukaryota; Metazoa; Chordata; Mammalia; Carnivora; Mustelidae.
CUACCGCAGUUGGUUUUGAGGGGAAGAUUUUUACAGUCUUUGUCAGCUAUAGCUGUGUGGGGGAAUGAAAACUACACUCCACAGUGAGGUGUAUGAUUUAUAUGUGGUUCAUUACUAUUUUAUGGCCUGGAAG